UGAGGAAUAUUGGUCAAUGGGCGUAAGCCUGAACCAGCCAAGUAGCGUGCAGGAUGACGGCCCUAUGGGUUGUAAACUGCUUUUAUGCGGGGAUAAAGUUGGGGACGUGUCCCUUUUUGCAGGUACCGCAUGAAUAAGGACCGGCUAAUUCCGUGCCAGCAGCCGCGGUAAUACGGAAGGUCCGGGCGUUAUCCGGAUUUAUUGGGUUUAAAGGGAGCGUAGGCAGUUUUUUAAGCAUGCUGUGAAAUGUACCGGCUCAACCGGUGAUGUGCAGCGCGAACUGGGAAUCUUGAGUACGCAGUAAGCAGGCGGAAUUCGUGGUGUAGCGGUGAAAUGCUUAGAUAUCACGAAGAACUCCGAUUGCGUAGGCAGCUUGCUGUAGCGUAACUGACGCUGAAGCUCGAAAGUGCGGGUAUCGAACAGGAUUAGAUACCCUGGUAGUCCGCACGGUAAACGAUGGAUGCCCGCUGUCGGCCUUUUUUGGUCGGUGGCCAAGCGAAAGCGUUAAGCAUCCCACCUGGGGAGUACGCCGGCAACGGUG
This 541-nucleotide ribosomal RNA is filed under the name uncultured bacterium. Its description in RNAcentral is "bacterial SSU rRNA". It matches the Rfam family "Bacterial small subunit ribosomal RNA", at positions 355 to 896 of the family's 1533-position model. The record is from RNAcentral.